This 252-nucleotide ribosomal RNA is filed under the name uncultured bacterium. Its description in RNAcentral is "partial 16S ribosomal RNA". It matches the Rfam family "Bacterial small subunit ribosomal RNA", at positions 524 to 776 of the family's 1533-position model. The record is from RNAcentral.
UACAGAGGGUGCGAGCGUUAAUCGGAAUUACUGGGCGUAAAGCGUGCGUAGACGGCUAUCUAAGUCGGGUGUGAAAGCCCCGGGCUCAACCUGGGAAUUGCAUUCGAGACUGAAUAGCUAGGGUACGGUAGAGGGAAGUGGAAUUUCCGGUGUAGCGGUGAAAUGCGUAGAUAUCGGAAGGAACAUCAGUGGCGAAAGCGACUUCCUGGACCAGUACCGACGUCAGGCACGAAAGCGUGGGGAGCAAACAGG